Molecule: ribosomal RNA, 501 nt
Filed under: uncultured bacterium
Lineage: Bacteria
Description: partial 16S ribosomal RNA
Rfam family: Bacterial small subunit ribosomal RNA
Source: RNAcentral
ACGAACGCUGGCGGCGUGCCUAAUACAUGCAAGUCGAACGAACCGCGACUAAGUGCUUGCACUAAGUCAAGGUGAGUGGCGAACGGGUGAGUAACACGUGGGUAACCUACCUCAUAGUGGGGGAUAACAGUCGGAAACGACUGCUAAUACCGCAUAGGACAUAGGAUCACAUGAUCCAGUGAGGAAAGGUGGCGCAAGCUAUCGCUAAGAGAUGGACCCGCGGUGCAUUAGCUAGUUGGUAGGGUAAAGGCCUACCAAGGCGAUGAUGCAUAGCCGACCUGAGAGAGUGAUCGGCGACAGUGGGACUGAGACACGGCCCAAACUCCUACGGGAGGCAGCAGUAGGGAAUCUUGCGCGAUGGACGCAAGUCUGACUGAGCAACGCCGCGUGAGUGAAGAAGGUCUUCGGAUCGUAAAGCUCUGUUGUUAGAGAAGAACAGCGCAUAGAGUAACUGCUAUGCGUGUGACGGUAUCUAACCAGAAAGCCACGGCUAACUACGUG